RNAcentral lists this unclassified non-coding RNA (378 nucleotides) under uncultured Actinomycetes bacterium. Its description in RNAcentral is "uncultured actinobacterium contains 16S-23S intergenic spacer region". The record is from RNAcentral. Lineage: Bacteria; Bacillati; Actinomycetota; Actinomycetes.
UCCGAGUUGACCCCGGCAGUCUCCCAUGAGUCCCCGGCAUAACCCGCUGGCAACAUGGGGUGAGGGUUGCGCUCGUUGCGGGACUUAACCCAACAUCUCACGACACGAGCUGACGACAACCAUGCACCACCUGUAAACCGACCACAAGUGGGGCGCCUGUUUCCAGACGUUUCCGGUUCAUGUCAAGCCUUGGUAAGGUUAUUCGCGUUGCAUCGAAUUAAGCCACAUGCUCCGCCGCUUGUGCGGGCCCCCGUCAAUUCCUUUGAGUUUUAGCCUUGCGGCCGUACUCCCCAGGCGGGGUGCUUAAUGCGUUAGCUUCGGCACGGACGGAGUCGACACCGCCCACACCUAGCACCCAUCGUUUACGGCUGGGACUAC